GAGUUAGGGCAGAGACCUCUCCCUUGUAAAAGAGUUAGGGUUAAAGCUAAUUUAUGCUAUAAAUACUCAUGUGCAUGCUGAUCAUGUGACGGGAACUGGAUUGAUAAAAACAAAGCUUCCUGGCGUGAAAUCUAUUAUU
Jatropha curcas is the source of this 139-nucleotide non-coding RNA. Lineage: Eukaryota; Viridiplantae; Streptophyta; Magnoliopsida; Malpighiales; Euphorbiaceae. The record is from RefSeq and is a predicted model, not a curated record.